UGCCGCGCGCGGCGGGAGGGGCGGCCCCGGCGGCGCCCCCUGGUGGUGGCGGAGCGGCCGCAGUUCUGCUCCGCCCCGGCUCCAGGACGGCAACGCCGCGGGAGAGCACGGAUACAGUGCGCGGAUGGAUGGGGAGGAAGUGGUACUGGAGGCAACUAGCAAACAACAGGAUUUAACUGAAAAUAAGCGUCAGUAAUGCUAUGACUGAAGCUACAAGAAUGUCUUAAAAUUCUCAGCCAUUUGUCUCCAACAGCAAGCAUGGAUGCUUUUUUCAAUGCUCUGAACUAAAGCUUCCAGAAUGACUUUGUGACGGCCACACCGGUAUGGACAAGUUUGCAACAUCUUAUUAAAAGUUCUACUAUUGAAAGACAGUCCUGUUGUUGUACAACCUGGAAAAAAAAAUAGAGUAUUGUAGAAACAGCGGCAUGACUGCUAUGGUAGUCAUCGUAAAAUCCAGCAUUUUGCUGACUAUGAUCUACAAUACAAGAGAAAAGGAAGCAGUUAAAAAUCACGGACAGAAGCAUUUACUGGAUUCACAGUCAGUGCAGAAGAAUUUACAGCUAGAGCAAGAACUUGAUCAUCCAGCUUAGAGAUUAACUGUGGACCACGUAAUUCUUUGCGUGUUCUUUCUAUAUAUGCUUUUGUACCACUGGG
Molecule: long non-coding RNA, 654 nt
Organism: Numida meleagris (helmeted guineafowl)
Lineage: Eukaryota; Metazoa; Chordata; Aves; Galliformes; Numididae
Exons: 4
Source: RefSeq, a predicted model, not a curated record